This 119-nucleotide ribosomal RNA is filed under the name Lepisosteus oculatus (spotted gar). Lineage: Eukaryota; Metazoa; Chordata; Actinopteri; Semionotiformes; Lepisosteidae. The record is from RNAcentral.
UCUAGGAGCCAUAUCACUCUGCAACUCACAACUAGCAACCCACUGAAGCUAAGUAGGUGUGAUCCUGGUCAGUACCUGGAUGGGAGACCUCCUGGGAAAAACUAAGGCUGCUGCUGGAA